Molecule: ribosomal RNA, 482 nt
Filed under: uncultured bacterium
Lineage: Bacteria
Description: partial 16S ribosomal RNA
Rfam family: Bacterial small subunit ribosomal RNA
Source: RNAcentral
AUUGAACGCUGGCGGCAUGCCUUACACAUGCAAGUCGAACGGUAACAGGUCUUCGGAUGCUGACGAGUGGCGAACGGGUGAGUAAUACAUCGGAACGUGCCCAGACGUGGGGGAUAACGAGGCGAAAGCUUUGCUAAUACCGCAUACGAUCUAAGGAUGAAAGCAGGGGACCGCAAGGCCUUGCGCGUUUGGAGCGGCCGAUGGCAGAUUAGGUAGGUGGUGGGAUAAAAGCUUACCAAGCCGACGAUCUGUAGCUGGUCUGAGAGGACGACCAGCCACACUGGGACUGAGACACGGCCCAGACUCCUACGGGAGGCAGCAGUGGGGAAUUUUGGACAAUGGGCGAAAGCCUGAUCCAGCAAUGCCGCGUGCAGGAUGAAGGCCUUCGGGUUGUAAAAUGCUUUUGUACGGAACGAAAAGGCUCUGGAUAAUACCUGGGGCACAUGACGGUACCGGAAGAAUAAGCACCGGCUAACUACGUG